UCCAGCUUGGGCUACAGAGUGAGAGACUCUUGUCUCAAAAAAAAAAAAAAAAAAAAAAAGACCCUGUCGACAGGCCCUCCCCUGGGCUGGCACCUGCCCACACCAGCUGGAACCUAACACCUUUGCACAGCUGUUCCCUGCCAGCCUCCCUGCCUCCUUGGAGGUCUGCACACACCGCCCCUCCCUUCCUCCAACCAGCCCAGGAGACCAGCACGCCUGAGCACCAGCACUCCCAGAGACAGAGCCGGCACGAGCCAGGACAGCAGCCGCCAGGGCCCUAGGCCCCUCUGUGGGUGGUUGGCCCACUGGAGAGCCGGAGCAGCGAGGCCAGCAAUGACCAAAGGCGCCGUAUCCAGAAUGCAGGCAGGCUCAGGCGCACCUGCCCUCCCUGGAUGCCACUACAGAUUCGGGGAGACUGAACUCAUGGGAUCAAGUGCCCCACAGAUCCUGGUCCUCACAAGGGACAAGGCCACCAGGUGUCACACUGGGAGACAGUGGCACCCCAGGGUAUGAAAGGCCACACCAGGCUUAUGUCCAGUAACCCUGCCUGCACAGCACAGCACGGCACGGCAUCCAUACCGCAGCACAGCCCCGCCCUCCGGCAGUGCCAAGCCCGGGAUCUCAGGGCCCCCACCAGAAACCAGACAGGUCAUGAAACCUCAGAUGGGAGGAAACGGGAGAGACACAACAACUAAAUGCCACGUGGGAUCCUGAGGGGGAGCCUGAACCAGACAACCGACAUGAGUCGGAAGACUGACAAAAUUCAGUGCAGUCUGGAGUGCUACGGUUAGAAUGUGACUGGUUUGUUCCCACCAAAACUCAUCUUGACAUUUGGUCCCCAGUGUGGCAGUGUUGGAAGGUGGGGCCUGGGGUGAGGUAUCUGAAUCAUGGAGGCCGAUCCCUCGUGAGUGGCUUGAUACUGUUCUCAAGGUAGCAAGGGAAUUCUUGCUCUGGAGAGGCUUGAUUAGUUCCCGAGCCUGGGUUGUUAUAAAAGCAGGACACUCCCUGGGUUUCCCUUCUUUGCACACAUGGGCUUUCCCUUUGACCCUCUCCACCACGUUAUGACACAGCACAAAAAGGCCUCACCAGAAGCCAGGGCCAUGCUCUUGAACUUCCCAGCCUGCAGAACCAUGAGCUAAAUAAGCUUCUUUUCUUUAUAAAUUACCCAGUCUCAGGUAUUCCAUUAUAGCAACACAAAAUAGACUAAAACUAAGACACUAAGUACCAACGCUUAGUAUCAACCUACAAAGUUCCUGGUUUCAGUCCUUGUUCUACGUUGCAUACGGAGGAAGCUGGGUGAAGGGCACAGAGGAAAUCUAUGCUAUUUUUGCAACUUUUCUUGCAAUUUUUCCAAGACAGCAUAGAUCUAAAGUUAUUUCAAAAUUAAAACUUUAAACACAUAAAAAUAAAACUGGGCCCCAGCCUCCCUCAGUGCUCUCUGGCCGGUCCAUUCUUCACAUUGGCUGCCUUUCCCUGGAGUGGAGGCGCCCACUGCAUCCCCAGUGUCCAGGGAGCAGGUCCUGUAGAAGGUGGUAGGUUCCAGGGAUCGGGGAGCAAGUACAGAGGCCCUGAGAAGGAAGCAAGCCUGGCGUGUUCCAGGAACACCAGGGAGAACCGUGUAGCCGGAGCAAUGCUCUUGUGCAGAGGGCCUAUGCCUGAGCCAC
Molecule: long non-coding RNA, 1664 nt
Filed under: Homo sapiens (human)
Lineage: Eukaryota; Metazoa; Chordata; Mammalia; Primates; Hominidae
Description: HSALNT0098794
Source: RNAcentral